This is a non-coding RNA of Oryza sativa Japonica Group (Japanese rice), 2095 nucleotides long. The record is from RefSeq and is a predicted model, not a curated record. NCBI's taxonomy places the organism in Eukaryota, Viridiplantae, Streptophyta, Magnoliopsida, Poales, Poaceae.
CCGAUUCCUCUCGCAUCGUCGCCAUUUCACCACUUCCCGUCGCCAUUCCCCCCCAUCCCCGCUUCCGCCGCCGUCCAUCUCCCUCGCCGCCUCCGUCGCCUGUCCUGGCGUCUCCUCCCCCUCCAGCGCCGUCGCCUUCUCUGCUCCCUCGCCGCACUCGCCCUUCCUCGCCGCCUUCUCCACCGCCAGCGCCCCUCUGUCGACGUCCGCCUCCCCCGAUAUUGGCGGCUUCCCUCCGUCGAAGCCCUUCCUUGUCGCCCUCGCCGCCUUCGCCUCCGCCCGCGUCUCCGCGCCGGCUUGUGAGCCCCCACCGUCGCUGUCCUCCUCCCCCGCCCUCUUGUCUAGCGAGUCGCGUGACGUAGCCGCCCCUCCACCCGCCUCCGCCGGCGCGCGAUGAGUCCUCUUCGCCGCGUCGCCUCCCCGCGCCACCACCGCCACGUUCUCCUCCCCAUGGACCGACGCACCCUUCUCCACUCCACCUCUGUCGCCAUCGACCUAGCCGCCCCCUUCUCUGAAGUGUGAACAUGCCCUUGGCAACCGAUUUAACCCAGUUGUUCAGAUACUAUGCGAGGAAUCGAGAGGAGACAGCCGAGCUUCAGGGUCAGUUUGCAAGACGGUGGCAUGCGCGAAGGGGAUCCGUAUGCCGGCGAAGGGGUUAUCGGUGUUCAGGUGCGACAUUGUAGCAUACGCACGUCGGUGACGUCGAUAGCUGACUGCGCUGAGUCAUCCCGAAGCGUAAGGUUGAACAAUUCUGGUUUAUUGAUUUUUGGUGCCUCAAAUAUGUCAUCUCUUUUUGAUGGCAGUCCAAGCAAACAAUCAACAUCAUCGAGUGUCAUCGUUACGAAAGUACCAUUAAUAUUGAAUGCUUUCUUCUCCUUGUCAUAGCUUCUUGCAAUCUCAUUGCACAAGUUUCGGUCAAUAUGUAUGUUGUCAAUCUUUAGCAAGUUGCCAAGACCUGAACCCUCGAUAGCUUCCUUUUGACGUAGACUUAGAUGGAGUAUUACCUCGUACAUGGCAUGUGGAGAGCAAACUAGAGUUCCCUAAUUAACAGAAAAGAUAAUAAGAGUUUAGUCCAUGUGAAAAUUUAUGCAAGUGCUCAUAUAUAUGAUUGCACAUUACCAAACCUAGAGAUCAAUUAAUCCUGCUAGAAAUCAAUUAGAAAUCAAAGGAAAUAAUUAAUCCUGCUCUGGCAUGUUACUCGUCUGACAUGUUGAAGUGAUGUCCUCCAUCACUGUUCUGGCAGUCUAUAUGGCCCUCUCUAUAAUUUGUUCAAUGUUCAUUCUUAUGUGCAGGAUUCAGUGAGGUUGAGGAGUUUGAGGGGAGCAACAUGAGUGAGGUCUUCGAGGGCAACAUAGUACUGUCAGGGCGUCGCCAGUGCCAUUGUCAGCUUCCCGCCACAAACGCCUCUGGAUCUCAAAUCCACCACGUCGAAGCAGGGGUUGGUCAGGCCGGCAGACCAUCUACGGCUGCGCCUAACACUCCCCGCAGGUACAUUGCUUCAUCCCAUUGCUCCCAUAGGCUUUUAGUUUUUUUUUUUUUUGGCAAAAAGUCGAGACAAAAAGUUAUAUGCCCUAAUGGCAUGUGGAUGUCAUGUAAUUACUAAAUUUUUAGCAUGCUGAAUAUAUAACAUGGAUAUGUUGCUUUGGAUUAAUAUCACUGUCUUCUCAAAAAUUAGGUGCCAUUCUGUUCGUUUUUUGUAUGGAGUAUGACAAGUAUAUAAAAUAGUUGUAUGGAGUAGGACAGGUAUAUAAAUUAGGUGCCAUUCUCUUUUUUUUUAUGGAGUUGUACAAGUAUAUUUUUUGGGAUAUCUUGCCGUGCUGUGUACUCUGUGUGGCUGCUACAUCCUCUAUACAAUUGCUCCAGAGACUAGCCAGAGCUUAAAAGAGGCACACAGUAAAAUCAGGGGAGAGACUAUAUUCGUUAAUAAUCUAAUCAUAUGUGCUGUAAUUAUCGUUGCGCCUUAGACCUAUUGCAACUUUGGCUUGAGGAGUCUAAGAUUUCGACAACUGAUGUAUACAAGAGCUGAAAGUGAAUGUUGUAUGUAAAAAGACGUACCCGUUUUUUCUUAUGUUGGCUUGUGCCCGUCGUCGCUGCA